GAUGAACGCUAGCGGCAGGCCUAACACAUGCAAGUCGAGGGGUAACUAGAGUGAUAGCAAUAUUACUUUGGCUAGACCGGCGCACGGGUGCGUAACACGUAUGCAACCUACCUUAUACUGGGGAAUAACUUCGAGAAAUCGGCGCUAAUACCCCAUAACACUGCGGAGAGGCAUCUCUUUGCAGUUAAAGCUCCGGCGGUAUAAGAUGGGCAUGCGUCCAAUUAGCUAGUUGGUGAGGUAACGGCUCACCAAGGCUACGAUUGGUAGGGGUUCUGAGAGGAUGAUCCCACACACUGGUACUGGGACACGGACCAGACUCCUACGGGAGGCAUCAGUGAGGAAUAUUGAACAAUGGACGAAGGUCUUACGCAGCCAUGCCGCGUGCAGGAUGACGGCCCUAUGGGUUGUAAACUGCUUUUGUACGGGAAUAAACCCUUCUACGUGUAGGAGGCUGAAGGUACCGUAAGAAUAAGCACCGGCUAACUCCGUGCCAGCCGCCGCCGUAA
RNAcentral lists this ribosomal RNA (506 nucleotides) under uncultured bacterium. Its description in RNAcentral is "partial 16S ribosomal RNA". It matches the Rfam family "Bacterial small subunit ribosomal RNA", at positions 28 to 523 of the family's 1533-position model. The record is from RNAcentral.